Molecule: long non-coding RNA, 230 nt
Organism: Alosa sapidissima (American shad)
Lineage: Eukaryota; Metazoa; Chordata; Actinopteri; Clupeiformes; Clupeidae
Exons: 3
Source: RefSeq, a predicted model, not a curated record
CAUGUCAUUUGAUUUAGACGGAGGUGCAGCGAUGAAGAUGUUCGGAGACAUUCUGACAGAUCAGAUAGCAUCAGAGAUGCUGUUUCUGGUGGCGCCAGAGGUGUGAGUCAGGAUUGCACAACCCAGUAUGCUACUGUCAGUCCCCACUGACCUGCUCGCAGCUCUUCUGUUCAACAAAAAUAACCUAAACUCAUUAUUGUGAUAUUACAAGUAAAAGCAAAUCGUGCAAA